GACGAACGCUGGCGGCGUGCUUAACACAUGCAAGUCGAACGAUGAAGCCUAGCUUGCUAGGUGGAUUAGUGGCGAACGGGUGAGUAAUACGUGAGUAACCUACCUUUAACUCUGGGAUAAGCCUGGGAAACUGGGUCUAAUACCGGAUACGACCAAUCUCCGCAUGGGGUGUUGGUGGAAAGCGUUAUGUAGUGGUUAUAGAUGGGCUCACGGCCUAUCAGCUUGUUGGUGAGGUAACGGCUCACCAAGGCGACGACGGGUAGCCGGCCUGAGAGGGUGACCGGCCACACUGGGACUGAGACACGGCCCAGACUCCUACGGGAGGCAGCAGUGGGGAAUAUUGCACAAUGGGCGCAAGCCUGAUGCAGCGACGCCGCGUGAGGGAUGACGGCCUUCGGGUUGUAAACCUCUGUUAGCAGGGAAGAAGAGAAAUUGACGGUACCUGCAGAGAAAGCGCCGGCUAACUACGUGCCAGCAGCCGCGGUAAUACGUAGGGCGCGAGCGUUGUCCGGAAUUAUUGGGCGUAAAGAGCUUGUAGGCGGUUUGUCGCGUCUGCUGUGAAGGCCGGGGCUUAACCCCGUGUAUUGCAGUGGGUACGGGCAGACUAGAGUGCAGUAGGGGAGACUGGAAUUCCUGGUGUAGCGGUGGAAUGCGCAGAUAUCAGGAGGAACACCAAUGGCGAAGGCAGGUCUCUGGGCUGUAACUGACGCUGAGAAGCGAAAGCAUGGGGAGCGAACAGGAUUAGAUACCCUGGUAGUCCAUGCCGUAAACGUUGGGCACUAGGUGUGGGGGACAUUCCACGUUUUCCGCGCCGUAGCUAACGCAUUAAGUGCCCCGCCUGGGGAGUACGGCCGCAAGGCUAAAACUCAAAGAAAUUGACGGGGGCCCGCACAAGCGGCGGAGCAUGCGGAUUAAUUCGAUGCAACGCGAAGAACCUUACCAAGGCUUGACAUAUACUGGACCGCAUCAGAGAUGGUGUUUCCCUUCGGGGCUGGUAUACAGGUGGUGCAUGGUUGUCGUCAGCUCGUGUCGUGAGAUGUUGGGUUAAGUCCCGCAACGAGCGCAACCCUCGUUCUAUGUUGCCAGCACGUUAUGGUGGGGACUCAUAGGAGACUGCCGGGGUCAACUCGGAGGAAGGUGGGGAUGGCGUCAAAUCAUCAUGCCCCUUAUGUCUUGGGCUUCACGCAUGCUACAAUGGCCGGUACAGAGGGUUGCGAUACUGUGAGGUGGAGCUAAUCCCUAAAAGCCGGUCUCAGUUCGGAUUGGGGUCUGCAACUCGACCCCAUGAAGUCGGAGUCGCUAGUAAUCGCAGAUCAGCAACGCUGCGGAGAAUACGUUCCCGGGCCU
RNAcentral lists this ribosomal RNA (1347 nucleotides) under uncultured bacterium. Its description in RNAcentral is "bacterial SSU rRNA". It matches the Rfam family "Bacterial small subunit ribosomal RNA", at positions 28 to 1381 of the family's 1533-position model. The record is from RNAcentral.